CUCGUCGUCAGGAUGAACGCUAGCGGCAGGCUAACACAUGCAAGUCGAGGGGCAGCGGGUCCAGCAAUGGAUGCCGGCGACCGGCGAAAGGGUGAGUAACGCGUGAGCAACAUGCCCGACACUGGGGGAUAGUCGAUGGAAACGUCGCGUAAUACCCCGUAACACAGGAGGCCGCAUGACUUCCUGUUGAAAGAUUCAUUGGUGUCGGAUUGGCUCGCGUGCCAUUAGGUAGACGGCGGGGUAACGGCCCACCGUGCCGACGAUGGCUAGGGGUUCUGAGAGGAAGGUCCCCCACAUUGGAACUGAGACACGGUCCAGACUCCUACGGGAGGCAGCAGUGAGGAAUAUUGGACAAUGGCCGGAAGGCUGAUCCAGCCAUGCCGCGUGCCGGGAUGAAUGCCCUAUGGGUUGUAAACCGCUUUUGCCGGGGAGCAAUAAGGUCCACGUGUGGACCGACGAGAGUACCCGGCGAAUAAGCAUCGGCUAACUCCGUGCCAGCAGCGGC
Molecule: ribosomal RNA, 505 nt
Filed under: uncultured bacterium
Lineage: Bacteria
Description: bacterial SSU rRNA
Rfam family: Bacterial small subunit ribosomal RNA
Source: RNAcentral